This 396-nucleotide ribosomal RNA is filed under the name uncultured bacterium. RNAcentral describes it as "bacterial SSU rRNA". It matches the Rfam family "Bacterial small subunit ribosomal RNA", at positions 773 to 1154 of the family's 1533-position model. The record is from RNAcentral.
AGAGAAUAGAUACCCCGGUAGUCCACGCCGUAAACGAAUGAGCACUAGUUAUUGGGGGUUAGUUGACUCCCUCCAGUGACGCAGCUAACGACAUUAAAGUUGCUCCGCCUGGGGAGGUACGGUCGCAAGACUAAAACUACAAACAAAAUUAGACGGGGGCCCGGCACAAGCGGUGGAUUAUGUGGUUUAAUUUCGAAGCAACGCGCAGAACCUUACCUAGGCUUGAACUCCUACGAACCUCUUGUAAUGGAGAGGGUGUCCGCAAGGAAAUGUAGUGAGAGGUGCUGCAUGGCUGUCGUCAGCUCGUGUUGUGAAAUGUUGGGUUAAGUCUCGCAACGAGCGCAACCCCUAUCGUCUGUUGCCAGCAUUAAGUUGGGCACUCUGACGAGACUGCCU